AAAUGAAGGAGUUGCUUGAGGAUGUGCAGAAUAUGCUGGAAGAGAACUGAACACAGAAGGAGGAGAGAACAAAGCCACAUGGAACCAUAUCACGCUGCUUGAUCACCAGUUUAAGAAACUGCUCGCCCUGUACACAGAUGCAGCAGGACAGGAGGAGGGGGCAGUAUUGUUACCAGUAUCCAGUCAGAGGACCACAGAAGAGCAGCUGAGUGAGCAGCAAGAAAGACAGAGCAGUUACUAACUGAGCUACAAUGAGGCAGCGGGACGCCUUGGUGUGUAAGCUGACAGAGGAGCUGGAGCAGGAACAUGGGCGCUAUGAAGAAAAGUAGCGUCAACUGAGCAAACUCGAGCUCCACAUGGUCGACGUGGAGAAGGAGGUGGACGGCCUAAGAAUCAAACACUCUAAUGGCAAGGGGCUGCCUGUUUUUCUUCAUCCAUCUCAAAUAUUCAUCGAAAUCGCUGCCAGUGAUGUGUCACACUGCUCUGAUCCCCCACAGAAGUCCACCCGGGUCACCAAAGGUCAAGCCAAUCAAAAAGGAAGAAAGAGGCUUUGCCUUCAUCACUUAUUCAGUCCGUACUCUGCAGCACAUGUGUGAGGGUAUCUGUGCGCUUUGCCUGGCUGUGGAGGAUUUGAGGUUUGUUUGUUUAUGUGCGCUGGAGCAGAAGCAUGGGGAGAUCCCUCAGACUCCCCCGGCGCGCUGCGUGAGGGCUGCUCAAAUCAAAACUCCAGGCUUCUGCUAAACGCUGGGCCGGGCCGCUCUCCUCCAGCAGAUGAGAAGCAGAAUGAUUACACACGCUGCUGAGAGCGGGCACAUGGCUAGCAAUGAGGCUUUGUUUGUUUGCUUUUGGCCGAUCGACAUUACGGUUUCAUGAUUUCUGUCCGGUGCCGGUUUUAAUGAUGGGCUUUGCCUGUUACUGGACAUGUUUGUGUUGUAUUGACGAGAUUUUUCAGCAUUGCCAGACAGAAGCAAGUAAGUUCACAGAAAGCAGAAAUCCUAGUUGAGGAGUAAUAAGUUCUCUCACAGUACCUCAACUGAGUACUAAGGUGCAAGACAAAUAGCACAAGAUACAUUCUUGUAGUUUUUCCAGACAUUUUGUAUACAUUCAAGGUGCAGAAUUAACAUUAAGAAUUAUACUUUAUAUUUUAUAAGGCAAGCUGGCUAUUUUUGUGCAGAACAGGUAAUCACUGAGCUUCAGUACGGUUGCUAACCAUAGCUCAGUAAUUUACUGCCACCACCUAGAGUAGUAGAGAUAGACAUUUUGGACAUUGAAAACGUUCACAGGUCACUCCUCGUCACUUGCUACAGUGUUUUUCAUUAACAUCACUG
Molecule: long non-coding RNA, 1328 nt
Filed under: Astyanax mexicanus (Mexican tetra)
Lineage: Eukaryota; Metazoa; Chordata; Actinopteri; Characiformes; Acestrorhamphidae
Description: lncRNA (ENSAMXG00005009620.1)
Source: RNAcentral